AACGAACGCUGGCGGCAGGCUUAACACAUGCAAGUCGAAACGCCCCGGCAAGGGGGAGUUGGCAGACGGGUGAGUAACGCGUGGGAAUCUACCCAACCCUGCGGAAUAGCUCUGGGAAACUGGAAUUAAUACCGCAUACGCCCUACGGGGGAAAGAUUUAUCGGGGAUGGAUGAGCCCGCGUUGGAUUAGCUAGUUGGUGGGGUAAAGGCCUACCAAGGCGACGAUCCAUAGCUGGUCUGAGAGGAUGAUCAGCCACAUUGGGACUGAGACACGGCCCAAACUCC
This 285-nucleotide ribosomal RNA is filed under the name uncultured Rhizobium sp. RNAcentral describes it as "partial 16S ribosomal RNA". It matches the Rfam family "Bacterial small subunit ribosomal RNA", at positions 29 to 339 of the family's 1533-position model. Lineage: Bacteria; Pseudomonadati; Pseudomonadota; Alphaproteobacteria; Hyphomicrobiales; Rhizobiaceae. The record is from RNAcentral.